AACGAACGCUGGCGGCAUGCCUAACACAUGCAAGUCGAACGAGACCUUCGGGUCUAGUGGCGCACGGGUGCGUAACGCGUGGGAACCUGCCCUUAGGUUCGGAGUAACUCCCCGAAAGGGGUCCUAAUACCGGAUAAUGUCUUCGGACCAAAGAUUUAUCGCCUUUGGAUGGGGCCGCGUUGGAUUAGCUAGUUGGUAGGGUAAAAGCCUACUAAGGCGACGAUCCAUAGCUGGUCUGAGAGGAUGAUCAGCCACACUGGGAAUGAGACACGGCCCAGACUCCUACGGAAGGGAGCAGUGGGGAAUAUUGGACGAUGGGCGAAAGCCUGAUAAAGCAAUGCCGCGUGAGUGAUGAAGGCGUUAGGGUUGUAAAGCUCUUUUACCCGGGAUGAUAAUGACAGUACCGGGAGAAUAAGCUCCGGCUAACUACGUG
Molecule: ribosomal RNA, 433 nt
Filed under: uncultured bacterium
Lineage: Bacteria
Description: partial 16S ribosomal RNA
Rfam family: Bacterial small subunit ribosomal RNA
Source: RNAcentral